UAUUAAAAAUUUCAUCUAUUUGUACUGUUGAAAACUGACGUGGUUAAUGAAAUAACCAGACAAUGACAUGUGACGUGCCACGCGUACCUCAUGCUAACAUACAGGAACCAAUUUUUAAUAGUAGUUUUAAAUGAGAUUUUUAACA
This is a non-coding RNA of Gossypium raimondii (Peruvian cotton), 145 nucleotides long. The record is from Rfam. Lineage: Eukaryota; Viridiplantae; Streptophyta; Magnoliopsida; Malvales; Malvaceae.